CCUACGGGGGGCAGCAGUAGGGAAUCUUGCUCAAUGGGGGAAACCCUGAUGCAGCAACGCCGCGUGGAGGAUGAAGGUUUUCGGAUUGUAAACUCCUUUUGUUAGAGAAGAAAAUGACGGUAUCUAACGAAUAAGCACCGGCUAACUCCGUGCCAGCAGCCGCGGUAAUACGUAGGGGGCAAGCGUUACUCGGAUUGACUGGGCGUAAAGAGCGCGUAGGCGGGAUAGCAAGUCAGAUGUGAAAUCCUAUGGCUUAACCAUAGAACUGCAUUGGAAACUGUUCAUCUAGAGUACGGGAGAGGUAGGUGGAAUUCUUGGUGUAGGGGUAAAAUGCGUAGAGAUCAAGAGGAACACUCGUUGCGAAGGCGACCUGCUGGAACGUAACUGACGCUGAGGCGCGAAAGCGUGGGGAGCAAACAGGAUUAGAUACCCGAGUAGUC
This 440-nucleotide ribosomal RNA is filed under the name uncultured bacterium. RNAcentral describes it as "partial 16S ribosomal RNA". It matches the Rfam family "Bacterial small subunit ribosomal RNA", at positions 338 to 795 of the family's 1533-position model. The record is from RNAcentral.